AUCAACAUGAACAGGAGUUUGGAAGAAGUUGAUUCCCAUCCUCAUGGAUGACUUUCACAGGUUCAAGACUUCAGUGGAGGAAAUAACUGUAGAUAUAGUGGAAAUAGCAAGAGAACUAGAAUUAGAAGUGUAGCCUGAAGAUGUGACAGAAUUGCUGCAUUCUUAUGAUAAAAUUUGAAUGGAUGAGAAGUUGCUUCUUAUGGAUGAGUAAAGAAAGUGGUUUCUUAGGAUGAAAUCUACUCCUGGGGAAGAUGCUGUGAAAUUGUUGAAAUAACAGCAAAGAAUUUAGAAUGUCACAUAAACUUGACUGAUAAAGCAGUGGCAGAGUUUGAGAGGAUUGACUCCAACUUUGAGAGUUCUGUGGGUAAAAUGCUAUUAAACAGCAUCACAUACCACAGAGAAAUAGUUCAUGAAAGGAAGAAUCAACUGAUGCAGCAAACUUCAGUGUUGUCAUGUUUUAAGAAAUUGCCACAGCCACCUGAGCCUUCAGCAGUUAUCACCCUAAUCAGCCAUGAGUCAGCAGACAUUAAGCCAUUCACUCUGAGUAAAUAUGUUCCAGUUUGGAGCUGAUCUCAACAAUGAUGUGUUAUGCCUUACCAUCAGCCUGAAGCAUACGCACUGCUGCAGUGAGCCAGUCUUCUGAGCUGUUUCACCCAGGAAUGCAUUCAGACCAACUGCAGAAGAACGAAAGAAGUGUCAAAUAGUUAAAGAAUCUAGCCCGCACAGAAAGGGAGCUUCUGGUCAGGAGUUCUUCAGAGAGGAUAUGGUGGGUAUUUACUUGGGCCUCAAGGGUCCAGCUUCAGGUUCUUUGCCAUCAGUGGUGGAGACCAGUGAUACACAGCAAGGAACACGUCUUGGAACUACUGAUCCUGACCAUCCUGCCCAAGAACUCCAGGCCUGGGUAUAGGAGCAUCCCAGAGUAUAGGAAAGAGGCUGUCUGUACUGAAGAACUUGGAGAGGAAGCUGAAUGAUCUGAGAGGAAAGGUUUAGACUCUUUUUACUCAAAGUGGUCAGAAGAUCAGCAGCCUUGGCAU
RNAcentral lists this long non-coding RNA (1034 nucleotides) under Pan troglodytes (chimpanzee). Its description in RNAcentral is "long non-coding RNA NONPTRT015062". The stretch from base 196 to 261 matches the Rfam family "mir-1255 microRNA precursor family". The record is from RNAcentral. Lineage: Eukaryota; Metazoa; Chordata; Mammalia; Primates; Hominidae.